AUUGAACGCUGGCGGCAUGCUUUACACAUGCAAGUCGAGCGGCAGCGCGGGGGGCAACCCUGGCGGCGAGCGGCGAACGGGUGAGGAAUACAUCGGAACGUGUCCCGUAGUGGGGGAUAGCUCGGCGAAAGCCGGAUUAAUACCGCAUAUGCUCUACGGAGGAAAACCGGGGAUCUGUUAAAGGACCUGGCGCUAUGGGAGCGGCCGAUGUCCGAUUAGCUAGUUGGUGAGGUAAAGGCUCACCAAGGCGACGAUCGGUAGCUGGUCUGAGAGGAUGAUCAGCCACACUGGGACUGAGACACGGCCCAGACUCCUACGGGAGGCAGCAGUGGGGAAUUUUGGACAAUGGGGGCAACCCUGAUCCAGCCAUGCCGCGUGCGGGAAGAAGGCCU
This 392-nucleotide ribosomal RNA is filed under the name uncultured bacterium. RNAcentral's name for it is "bacterial SSU rRNA". It matches the Rfam family "Bacterial small subunit ribosomal RNA", at positions 29 to 417 of the family's 1533-position model. The record is from RNAcentral.